RNAcentral lists this unclassified non-coding RNA (323 nucleotides) under plant metagenome. RNAcentral describes it as "partial contains small subunit ribosomal RNA and internal transcribed spacer 1". The stretch from base 1 to 46 matches the Rfam family "Eukaryotic small subunit ribosomal RNA", at positions 1786 to 1831 of the family's 1831-position model. The record is from RNAcentral.
AAGUCGUAACAAGGUUUCCGUAGGUGAACCUGCGGAAGGAUCAUUAUUGAACAAAUAUAAUUUGGGAGGUUGUAGCUGGCUCUCUGAGUAAUGUGCACGCCCUUCAAACUAUUUAUCCUCCAACCCACCUGUGCACUCCUUGUAGAUGCUGGAUAAAACAACAACUUUCUUUUGGAUUGUUGUGCUCUUUUGAGGGUUUGCUGUCAAGGCUGCCUUUGCUGGUCUAGCAUCUAUGUAUUUUACAAUGCACCCCCAUUUUUAUAGUCUUUGGAAUGUAUUAUCAAAGGGGCAGCAAUGCCUUUUGUUUAUAAAUAUUAAUACAA